AACAACAACAACAGCUAGCAACAAGUAGUAAUCAUGAGAUUAAUGAAGAUAAUAAUAAUAAUAAUAAUAAUAAUAAUAAUGAAGGAGGAGGAGGAGGAAGAAGUGACGGUGGUGGUGGUGGUGAUCAUCAUAGUUCACAGAGACAUCAUCAUCAACAACAACAACAACAACAACAUCAUCAACAUCAUCAUAAUAUUCUCUCAGGCUUGAAUCAGUACGGACGGCAAGUUUCCGGCGAAUCUCAAGCUAGUGGAUCACUUGGAGGAGGUGGUGAUGAAGAGGAUCCACAAGAAUAGUCACACACACACACGAAAAGAACAAUUUAACGGUGGAUUUCGCCGCCGGCGGUGGUGGCGGCUGUGUAAUACUUUUGUUUUCGCCGUUAAUUUCUUUUUUUAUCUUCUGUAGUAAAUUUUUUGUUUGUUUUUUUUGCUAAGUAAAAAAAAAAACAAAACAAGUGAGAUUUUUUUUUUUUUUUUUUUUUUUGUGAUUUUUAAUUACUUUGAUUUAAAUUUGAUUUUUCUUGUGAGUGAGUGAUUAAAUAGUACACGAGAUUUUUUAUGUCAGGUUUUUUGGAUUUUGAGGAGAAUAUGACACUUUUUUUUUUUAUGAUUAUUAUUAUUUAAAUGUUUUUAUUUUCUUCUGUUAGUGUCACUGUCUCGAUUCUCAAUCAUCUUAGUUUUUUUUCUUUAUCCAUUAAGAAACUUAAUUACACACAUAAAGAAAAUUUUCAACUAUUGGCGAAAUAAUUCUUUGUUUGUUAUCUCAGUUGAAAACAUUAUACAUCAACGUACAUCUAAUCUUAUUGUUAUUUUGGUUUACACUAUAAUUAAUGUUAUAAUACAAAUGUGAAAUUGUUUUGUUGUGUAGGGAAUCAUGAGAUGGGCCUCUCUCUAUUUCUAUCUCUCAGCUUGGCCUACCAAUCUCGUUCUCACUUGGCCCUUGAAGCUAAUAGAAAACAGCAAAGUGUCUCGUUUGUUUUUACAUGGUCGAACGAAAACGAUACACAAAACAUAACAUAAAAAAGAAACAUCUCGUUUGAUCUUAUAUAUAUAGAAUGCUUUUUUUAGAAUAUGAUUCAUUUUUAUCUUUUGCUUAUUUGUCGUUUGUCCCCACUAAAACAAUCAAUCUGAUUUUGUAUAUGAUUGUCAAAUAUUUUAAUCAAG
RNAcentral lists this long non-coding RNA (1166 nucleotides) under Capsella grandiflora. RNAcentral describes it as "long non-coding RNA (CGRA_LNC001340)". The record is from RNAcentral. Lineage: Eukaryota; Viridiplantae; Streptophyta; Magnoliopsida; Brassicales; Brassicaceae.